GUACGUUCUUCACUUAAUCCAGUGUCUGUCUCCUAGUAAUUAUUGCCUGGCUUUCAAACCGAUGAGGCUUACGCUUCAGCUUGGGUAAUGAAGUGAGUAAAUUGGGAUUGUCUCGAGUUUUAAUCGUUGAGUUUCCUGCCUACUUGUGCAACUUGGUUUGAUGAUCAAUUAACUUCAGAUCUCGUCUGGCCCAGGCAGUGCGUGAGAUGAAGAUGAUAUCCACAAGCGUACUGAAGAUCAAGUGGACCGUCACUGGGACGCCGAAGCUUCCGCCAGCAUCUGCAUUGGGUGGUAGGGUCGUGCUAGCUGUGAGCUCAACCUUCACUAUGAACCAGAUCAGUGGCCAGGUUACUUUGCAUGAAGACGAGUGGGACUUGUCAGCCUCAGAUCCAGCCGCACAGGCCUACUUCUGGACCGCAAGAUUGGCCUUCUCAGCUGUGGAGGGAGGAAAGAACUUUGCAUCUGGUGUGCAAGGAAUAGCGAAGCAACUAGAUAAAGGCCAAGAAAACAACAGUAACUCAAUCUAUCCGGACCCAUCCGGUGAUCCAAGAAAAGUAAGUCCCCAGACGUUGCAAACCUCAAAAUUUGAUGUUCAUUUUUUUAACAUUUUGAAUGCAACCAUCAUUUGCUCUUCCAGGUUCUCUUCUCUCGGCUUUUAAUUGAGGGUUAUGAUUCGUUAACCUCGAGAAAAGAGUUUGCAGUAUCGUAGGAAAAGCCGAACGUUCUCUUGUGAAGCAGGAGCAGUUCAUCAACAGCGUCUGAUUCGUCAAUUUUGAAAUUUUCUCGUGU
Molecule: long non-coding RNA, 789 nt
Filed under: Physcomitrium patens
Lineage: Eukaryota; Viridiplantae; Streptophyta; Bryopsida; Funariales; Funariaceae
Description: long non-coding RNA (PPAT_LNC009147)
Source: RNAcentral